Molecule: ribosomal RNA, 244 nt
Filed under: uncultured bacterium
Lineage: Bacteria
Description: partial 16S ribosomal RNA
Rfam family: Bacterial small subunit ribosomal RNA
Source: RNAcentral
CGGACCGGCGCGACGGUGAGUAACGCGUAUGCAACUACUAUCGAGGAGGGGACGUAACCGGCGAAAGUCGGACUAAUACCGCAUGAAGCAGGGGCCCCGCAUGGGGAUAUUUGCUAAAGAUUCAUCGCUGAUAGAUAGGCAUGCGUUCCAUUAGGCAGUUGGCGGGGUAACGGCCCACCAAACCGACGAUGGAUAGGGGUUCUGAGAGGAAGGUCCCCCACAUUGGUACUGAGACACGGACCAA